GAUGACUUAGGUCAACACAAAACUUUUUAUUUUUUUUUUGAAUAACAAAUAUAAAUUAGAGGUGGGAUACUAAUGGUAAAAUAAGGUGUCUGCUUUAAAACUCUGGAGUUCCCGAAUCAGAACCCAAACUGUAUUCCCUUACAUUCUGAAAAGUCUCUAAGUUCAGAGGUGUGAAUAUUAUUAAUUAGAUGGCACCAGUUUAGCUCUGUGUAAACUUCAAUCUACUCCCAAGUGCAUGUAAUUCUUCCAAAAAUAUGGGGGAAAAAUACCUUACCUGAAGCUUCUGUGGGAUUUACCCACUUGCUUCUUGUCUUGUUCACCUGACAUUUGGUUUCUGCUUGUUACAGAAAAGAAGAGGAAAGGCUCAACCAAGAGAAAAAGGUCUCUGUUUAUUUAGAAGACACAGACUAACAAUUUUAGAUGGAAGCUGAGAUGAUUUCCAAGAACAAGAACCCUAGUAUUUCUUGAAGUUAAUGGAAACUUUUCUUUGGCUUUUCCAGUUGUGACCCGUUUUCCAACCAGUUCUGCAGCAUAUUAGAUUCUAGACAAGCAACACCCCUCUGGAGCCAGCACAGUGCUCCU
This 582-nucleotide long non-coding RNA is filed under the name Homo sapiens (human). RNAcentral's name for it is "non-protein coding lnc-MPZL3-2:1". Lineage: Eukaryota; Metazoa; Chordata; Mammalia; Primates; Hominidae. The record is from RNAcentral.